Molecule: ribosomal RNA, 1442 nt
Filed under: uncultured bacterium
Lineage: Bacteria
Description: bacterial SSU rRNA
Rfam family: Bacterial small subunit ribosomal RNA
Source: RNAcentral
GUUUGAUCAUGGCUCAGAACGAACGCUGGCGGAAUGCUUAACACAUGCAAGUCGAACGAGUACUUUUUACGAGUGGCGGACGGGGGAGUAACGCGUGGGAACCUACCUUGAGGUAAAGAAUAACUACAGGAAACUGUAGCUAAUACUUUAUGUGCCCUACGGGGGAAAGAUUUAUCGCCUUUUGAGGGGCCCGCGUCAGAUUAGCUUGUUGGUGAGGUAAUAGCUCACCAAGGCUAUGAUCUGUAGCUGGUUUGAGAGGAUGAUCAGCCACAUUGGGACUGAGACACGGCCCAGACUCCUACGGGAGGCAGCAGUGGGGAAUCUUGGACAAUGGGGGAAACCCUGAUCCAGCAAUUCCGCGUGAAUGAUGAAGGCCUUAGGGUUGUAAAGUUCUUUUAGUAAGGAAGAUGAUGACGGUACUUACAGAAAAAGCUCCGGCUAACUCCGUGCCAGCAGCCGCGGUAAUACGGAGGGGGCAAGCGUUGUUCGGAAUUACUGGGCGUAAAGAGCGAGCAGGUGGUUUAUUAAGUCAAUUGUGAAAGCUCAAGGCUUAACCUUGAAAUUGCUUUUGAAACUGAUGAACUAGAGUUUGGGAGAGGAUAGUGGAAUUCUAAGUGUAGAAGUGAAAUUCGUAGAUAUCAGAAGGAACAUCAAUGGCGAAGGCAGCUUUCUGGACCAAUACUGACGCUGAGGUACGAAAGCGUGGGUAGCAAACAGGAUUAGAUACCCUGGUAGUCCACGCCGUAAACGAUGAUAACUAGCCGUUGGGGGGAUUUACCCCUUAGUGGCGAAGCUAACGCGUUAAGUUAUCCGCCUGGGGAGUACGGCCGCAAGGCUAAAACUCAAAGGAAUUGACGGGGACCCGCACAAGCGGUGGAGCAUGUGGUUUAAUUCGAUGCAACGCGAAGAACCUUACCUGGUCUUGACAUCCUGCGAACUUUCUAGAAAUAGAUUGGUGCCUUCGGGAACGCAGUGACAGGUGCUGCAUGGCUGUCGUCAGCUCGUGUCGUGAGAUGUUGGGUUAAGUCCCGUAACGAGCGCAACCCCUAUCCUUAUUUGCCAGCACAUUAUGGUGGGAACUAUAAGGAGACUGCCGGUGAUAAACCGGAGGAAGGCGGGGACGACGUCAAGUCAUCAUGGCCCUUACGACCAGGGCUACACACGUGCUACAAUGGGAAGGACAAAGAGCCGCGAAGCCGCGAGGUGUAGCUAAUCUCAUAAAUCUUUUCGUAGUCCGGAUUGGAGUCUGCAACUCGACUCCAUGAAGUCGGAAUCGCUAGUAAUCGUAGAUCAGAAUGCUACGGUGAAUACGUUCCCGGGUCUUGUACACACCGCCCGUCAUACCAUGGGAGUGGGUUGCACCAGAAGUGGCUAGUCUAACUUUGUGAGGACGGUCACCACGGUGUGAUUCAUGACUGGGGUAAAGUCGUAACAAGGUAGCC